GUAUAAGGGACAGGUGAGUCAUCGAAUCUUUGAACGCACAUUGCGCCCUUUGGUAUUCCUUAGGGCAUGCCUGUUCGAGCGUCAUCUAACCCUUCAAGCAUCGCUUGGUGUUGGGCGCCUGUCCCGCCUCCGCGCGCGGACUCGCCUUGAAAGCAUUGGCAGCCUGUGUAUUGGCUUCGAGCGCAGCAGAUUCGCGCCUCGUCCCCUCUCCGCAUGGGCGUCCAUGAAGCCACCCCCAUAUUUUGACCUCGGAUCAGGUAGGGAUACCCGCUGAACUUAAGCAUAUCAAUAAGCGGAGGA
RNAcentral lists this unclassified non-coding RNA (300 nucleotides) under uncultured Pleosporales. RNAcentral describes it as "sequence contains 5.8S rRNA gene, ITS2". The stretch from base 244 to 300 matches the Rfam family "Eukaryotic large subunit ribosomal RNA", at positions 1 to 57 of the family's 3401-position model. Lineage: Eukaryota; Fungi; Ascomycota; Dothideomycetes; Pleosporales. The record is from RNAcentral.